ACAGCAGUAGCCGCGGUAAUACGAAGGGUGCAAGCGUUACUCGGAAUUACUGUGCGUAAAGCGUGCGUAGGUGGUGGUUUAAGUCCGUUGUGAAAGCCCUGGGCUCAACCUGGGAAUUGCAGUGGAUACUGGGUCACUAGAGUGUGGUAGAGGAUAGUGGAAUUUCCGGUGUAGCAGUGAAAUGCGUAGAGAUCGGAAGGAACAUCUGUGGCGAAGGCGACUAUCUGGGCCAACACUGACACUGAGGCACGAAAGCGUGGGGAGCAAACAGGAUUAGAUACCCGUGUAGUCCCUGUCUCUUAUAA
This 305-nucleotide ribosomal RNA is filed under the name uncultured bacterium. RNAcentral describes it as "partial 16S ribosomal RNA". It matches the Rfam family "Bacterial small subunit ribosomal RNA", at positions 508 to 809 of the family's 1533-position model. The record is from RNAcentral.